This 72-nucleotide transfer RNA is filed under the name Camelus bactrianus (Bactrian camel). It matches the Rfam family "tRNA". Rfam says of the family: Transfer RNA (tRNA) molecules are approximately 80 nucleotides in length. Their secondary structure includes four short double-helical elements and three loops (D, anti-codon, and T loops). RNAcentral also lists the same sequence under 2 other names. Lineage: Eukaryota; Metazoa; Chordata; Mammalia; Artiodactyla; Camelidae. The record is from Rfam by way of RNAcentral.
GAGGGUAUAUCUUAGUGGUAGAGCACAUGCUUAGCGUGCACGAGGUCCUGGGUUCAAUCCCCAGUACCGCCG